Molecule: ribosomal RNA, 468 nt
Filed under: uncultured bacterium
Lineage: Bacteria
Description: partial 16S ribosomal RNA
Rfam family: Bacterial small subunit ribosomal RNA
Source: RNAcentral
GACGAACGCUGGCGGCGUGCUUAACACAUGCAAGUCGAACGGAAAGGCCCUGCUUUUGUGGGGUGCUCGAGUGGCGAACGGGUGAGUAACACGUGAGUAACCUGCUCUUGACUUUGGGAUAACUUCAGGUAACUGGGGCUACUACCGGAUAGGAGCUCCUGCUGCAUGGUGGGCGUUGGAUCGUUUCGGCGGUUGGGGAUGGACUCGCGGCUUAUCAGCUUGUUGGUGGGGUAGUGGCUUACCAAGGCUUUGACGGGUAGCCGGCCUGUGAGGGUGACCGGCCACAUUGGGACUGAGAGACGGCGCAGACGGCAACGGGAGGCAGCAGUGGGGAAUAUGGCACAAUGGGCGGAAGCCGGAUGCAGCAACGCCGCGUGCGGGAUGACGGCCUUCGGGGUGUAAACCGCGUUCGCCUGUGACGAAGCGGGAGUGACGGUAAUGGGUAAAGAAGCACCGGCUAACUACGUG